This 292-nucleotide ribosomal RNA is filed under the name uncultured bacterium. Its description in RNAcentral is "partial 16S ribosomal RNA". It matches the Rfam family "Bacterial small subunit ribosomal RNA", at positions 505 to 796 of the family's 1533-position model. The record is from RNAcentral.
GUGCCAGCAGCCGCGGUAAUACAGAGGGUGCGAGCGUUAAUCGGAAUUACUGGGCGUAAAGGGUGUGUAGGUGGUAUCGUAAGUUAGAUGUGAAAUCCCCGGGCUUAACCUGGGAACUGCGUUUAAAACUGCGAAGCUAGAGUAUUGCAGAGGAUAGUGGAAUUUCCAGUGUAGCGGUGAAAUGCGUAGAUAUUGGAAGGAACACCAGUGGCGAAGGCGACUAUCUGGGCAAAUACUGACACUGAGACACGAAAGCGUGGGGAGCAAACAGGAUUAGAAACCCGCGUAGUCC